RNAcentral lists this ribosomal RNA (233 nucleotides) under uncultured bacterium. RNAcentral describes it as "partial 16S ribosomal RNA". It matches the Rfam family "Bacterial small subunit ribosomal RNA", at positions 1268 to 1500 of the family's 1533-position model. The record is from RNAcentral.
CGGAUCUCUUAAAGCUGUUCUCAGUUCGGACUGCAGUCUGCAACUCGACUGCACGAAGCUGGAAUCGCUAGUAAUCGCGAAUCAGAAUGUCGCGGUGAAUACGUUCCCGGGUCUUGUACACACCGCCCGUCACACCAUGGGAGUCGGAAAUGCCCGAAGUCAGUGACCUAACCGAAAGGAAGGAGCUGCCGAAGGUGGAGCCGGUAACUGGGGUGAAGUCGUAACAAGGUACC